Molecule: ribosomal RNA, 403 nt
Filed under: Verrucomicrobiota bacterium
Lineage: Bacteria; Pseudomonadati; Verrucomicrobiota
Description: Verrucomicrobia bacterium partial 16S ribosomal RNA
Rfam family: Bacterial small subunit ribosomal RNA
Source: RNAcentral
UGGGGAAUAUUGCACAAUGGGCGCAAGCUUGAUGCAGCAACGCCGGGUGAACGAUGAAGGUCUUCGGAUCGUAAAGUUCUGUUGCAGGGGAAGAUAAUGACGGUACCCUGUGAGGAAGCCCCGGCUAACUACGUGCCAGCAGCCGCGGUAAUACGUAGGGGGCUAGCGUUAUCCGGAUUUACUGGGCGUAAAGGGUGCGUAGGUGGUCUUUCAAGUCGGUGGUUAAAGGCUACGGCUCAACCGUAGUUAGCCUCCGAAACUGGAAGACUUGAGUGCAGGAGAGGAAAGUGGAAUUCCCAGUGUAGCGGUGAAAUGCGUAGAUAUUGGGAGGAACACCAGUAGCGAAGGCGGCUUUCUGGACUGCAACUGACACUGAGGCACGAAAGCGUGGGUAGCAAACAGG